Molecule: long non-coding RNA, 2224 nt
Filed under: Macaca mulatta (Rhesus monkey)
Lineage: Eukaryota; Metazoa; Chordata; Mammalia; Primates; Cercopithecidae
Description: lncRNA (ENSMMUG00000064611.1)
Source: RNAcentral
CCCAGACCCUGACCCACCACAUCCAAAGAGCAACAUCAGCUAGUCCCAAACCAGGGCUGCUGGGUUUGGGGAACGGCUGCCUCAUCACACACCUCAACACAGUGGCUGGCCCCCAGGCAUCAGACAGUGCACAGACUCAUUACCAUUGUGACUAUGAAGCCACAGUGACAUGGCUUUGAAAUCUAAAUGAAAGAAACACAACAGAGACCCCCUUCCCUAUGGCUCAGCCUGGCACUAGGAUUUAUUGCUUUCAUUUUAAUAGGUUAAUUACUUUGACAGGUAGGUGUUUGAGAGGCUUCCUCCUCAGCACAAAGCAAUCGUGGGGUGACCAGCCUUCCCCAGGCAAGCUCUCAGUGAGUGCAGUGGGAGGUGGAGCCAGGCCGGCCUUAAUUACCUGAUUGGGGUGGUUGUGGGUUGCACUAAUAUCUCAGUGAUGUUCCUCUCGGAGCAGAGUGCUUUGUUGGGGUUGUGAAAAUCCAGAUCUUCGCAUGGGCAGCCAGACUGGAUUUAUAGCAAACAACUGAAUUCUGUGUCUCCUGCUACCAUUAGCAUUUCCCACCUUGUUCUUCAUAGGUGGCGUUGAUCUGCCUUGAUGGACGGGCAGCACCUGGAAGGCAGGGCUGUGCUGAUUGAUGCCGGGGGCCCACUCCUAUUCAUUCGUUCAACUGGCACCAAGUCAGUGCCUCACUCCACAGACCCAUCAGUGAGAUCUUCAGGAGGGGUAGAAGGUCUAGACUUCAGGCUUCCCAGCCCACCCUGCUCAGCACCCCUGGCUUCAUUCACACUGCUGCAGGAAUGGCCACCCCAAAACACGAGUCACAAUAUGUCACUCUCUUCCUCAAAAGUGAUUUCCAUACAUCAUCACUUCUGCAAGACGUGAUCAUAUGGCCUCGGUUCUAAGUCACCACCAAUUGUCAGAGGGCCUUCGAUUAAACAACCAGCUUUCAGGGAGUUUAAAGAAGCUCUACAUUACAUGUGUCUAUCAAUUGUACGACUACCCUAUUUCAUAAAUAUGGAAAUAUCCAUCUUACAACUGUGGCUGUUGUGAGGGGGAGAAAGGAGGUUUUAUGGUCAACUGCAUCUGGUAAGUGCUUAGUUAACCUAAGAGUCUUCCAGUGCAGGACUUGUCAGACCCUUGGGAUGAUCACAUGCACUGUGCCUCCAUCAGAGGAGUUUACGGGACUCGUCUGUUUUCAGGUUUGUUUAACCCCUCAUCCACUUGAUCUUUUCCUUUGGCAGAGCAUCUUGCAGGACUGGUGUUCCCAAAACUGCACUUUGAAAAAUGCUGGUUGCUGGGCGCAGUGGCUCAAGCCUGUAAUUCCAGCACUUUGGGAGGCCGAGACGGGCGGAUCACGAGGUCAGGAGAUCGAGACCAUCCUGGCUAAAACGGUGAAACCCCGUCUCUACCAAAAAUAAAAAAAAAAAAAAUAGCCGGGCGACGUGGCAGGCGCCUGUAGUCCCAGCUACUUGGGAGGCUGAGGCAGGAGAAUGGCGUAAACCCAGGAGGCGGAGCUUGCAGUGAGCUGAGAUCCGGCCACUGCACUCCAGCCUGGGCGGCAGAGCGAGACUCCGUCUCAAAAAAAAAAAAAGAAAAGAAAAGAAAAAUGCUGGUUUACAGACUGAAUAUCAAACAUCUCAGCCAGACCUUCAAGGCUCCCCACCUUCCCUAACCAAGCCUCUGCUUUAGGGUUCUCAUACUUCCUCAGCUGCACACUGCCUGUUCAGGCCCUGAAUUUCUGCUCCUGGUAUAAUAUCAGGAUUGCCCAACCCAACCUUAUCCUCACCUAUUCUUCACUCCAUCCAUCAAAAAAAUACUGGCCGGGUGCGGUGGCUCACACCUGUGAUCCUAGCACUUUGGGAGACCAAAGUGGGACGAUCACUCGAGGUCACAAGUUAGAGACCAGCCUGGCCAAUAUGGUAAAACCCCAUCUCUACUAAAAAUAUAAAAACUAGCUGGGCUUGGGGGUGCACACCUGUAGUCCCAGCUACUAGGGAGGCUGAGGUGGAAGGAUCACUUGAGCCCAGGAGGGGGAGGUUGCAGUGAGCCAAGAUUGUGCCACUGCACUCCAAGUGAAACUCGGUCUCAAAAACAAAAAACAAAAACCUAUCGAGCCUCUAUAAUGCGCCAGGAACUCUUCCAGGCAUAAGUGACAGAGUAGUGAACAAGAUCAGCCCGGCUCAGGCCUCAGGGACUAUAUACGCCAGUGGAAGAGGCAACAUUCAC